This 441-nucleotide ribosomal RNA is filed under the name Macrostylis sp. ML03. RNAcentral describes it as "bacterial SSU rRNA". It matches the Rfam family "Eukaryotic small subunit ribosomal RNA", at positions 68 to 473 of the family's 1831-position model. The record is from RNAcentral. Lineage: Eukaryota; Metazoa; Arthropoda; Malacostraca; Isopoda; Macrostylidae.
GACCGAUCUAAGGUGAAACCGCGAAUGGCUCAUUAAAUCAGUGGUAAUUUCUUGGAUAGUGAAAAACUUUCCUCGGAUAACUGUGGAAAAUCCAGAGCUAAUACGUGCAACUGAGCUCCGACCUAGGCGCGAGCCUUGGGAAGAGCGCAUUUAUUAGAUUCAAAACUGACCGGUGUAUUCCUUCGGGAUUCACCGAUUGUCAAAUGUUUGAUGACUCCGGAUAACUUAGCCGAGCGCUACGGUCUUUAGUACCGGCGCUGUAUCUUUCAAGUGUCUGCCUUAUCAGCUUUCGAUUGUAGGUUAAACGCCUACAAUGGCUGUAACGGGUAACGGGGAAUCAGGGUUCGAUUCCGGAGAGGGAGCCUGAGAAACGGCUACCACAUCUAAGGAAGGCAGCAGGCACGCAAAUUACCCACUCCCAGCCUGGGGAGGUAGUGACGA